Molecule: ribosomal RNA, 464 nt
Filed under: uncultured Geobacteraceae bacterium
Lineage: Bacteria; Pseudomonadati; Thermodesulfobacteriota; Desulfuromonadia; Geobacterales; Geobacteraceae
Description: partial 16S ribosomal RNA
Rfam family: Bacterial small subunit ribosomal RNA
Source: RNAcentral
CCUACGGGAGGCAGCAGUGGGGAAUUUUGCGCAAUGGGGGCAACCCUGACGCAGCAACGCCGCGUGAGUGAUGAAGGCCUUCGGGUCGUAAAGCUCUGUCAGAGGGGAAGAAAUGCAGGUGGUGAACAACCAUUCUGUUUGACGGUACCCUCAAAGGAAGCACCGGCUAACUCCGUGCCAGCAGCCGCGGUAAUACGGAGGGUGCGAGCGUUGUUCGGAAUUAUUGGGCGUAAAGCGCGUGUAGGCGGUUUGUUAAGUCGGAGGUAAAAGCCCCGGGCUCAACCUGGAAAGUGCAUUGGAGACUGGCAGACUUGAGUACGGGAGAGGAGAGUGGAAUUCCCAGUGUAGGAGUGAAAUCCGUAGAUAUUGGGAGGAACACCGAUGGCGAAGGCAGCCCCCUGGGUUGGCACUGACGCUCAUGCACGAAAGCGUGGGGAGCAAACAGGAUUAGAUACCCUGGUAGU